GUUCAGUGGACGCAUGCAGUCACAGUCAGUCCAUCAGGUCCAAUCGAUGCUAUGUCUGUCCAGUCACGGUUAUGCAGACUCCUAGCGGUAUCCAAGCUUCACAAUAAGUGUGAUUGUACUGAGUGGGCCUAGGCUGUACAUCCUCACAGUCAUCGUGUCGGCUGACCAUUCAGCGGAGGACUACGAUGCGACAUCAGAGUGUUGAAGGCAGACCAUGACGUUUGAUGUGAUAACAUAGAAGUAUCAAAUCUGGCCUUGCUCUAUUCAUUAGCUUGAAUACAGAGUAGGACUUAUGGUAGUAGUUGGUGGCAUCUAGAUCCGCCGUAAUGAGUUAUAGUGAUAGUCUGGGGCGACACUAAUUUAGCUGUCAGACAUGAAAUCCAGGACAUCUCCAAGAUCAAGGGUUAAAAUGCAGUGUCGAAGAAGAUUUUCAUUAAUCAGUAGUCUUAACCACAAGGGAUCGAAGACGAUCGAUCGGGCGUGGUAGUCUAAGGCUUAAUCGGGAUCCGAGCGAAAUCAAAGUUUUUUUUUAUGAUGAGAGUCUCGGCACCAUGGGAGAAAUCAAAGUGAUUGGAUUCAGGGGGCGACUACGGGAGCAGGGCUGAAACUUAAAGAAAACUCAACAAGGGCACCACAAGCCGUUCCAGACAUACGGAGGAUUGACUCAACACGAGGUAACUCACCAGGUCCAGACAAAAUAAGCAUGGCCAGUUUGAGAGCUCUUUCUUGAUCUUUUGGGUUAAUGGUGCAUGGCCGUUGAGACCUGGUUGAGUGAAAUGUACGGAUUCAUGUGAUAACGAGGGAGACGUCUCCCGUCAAAUAGCUCUUUCCGCAGAGACGGUCCUCUGGCUUAUGAGGGGGACUAUCGGCACAAGCCGAUGGAAGUGCGCGGCAAUAACAGUUCUGUGCUGCCGCGAGACAUUGAGGCCGGCACGCACGUUUCAUUCACAGGGCCACAGAGUACAUCACCUUUGCGAAGAGGUAUGGGUAAUGGGAUUAAGCCCUGUAAUUAUGGGGAUAGAGCGAGGCAUUUAUUGUUAGUGCAAGUGGUAAGCCUGGUAGGCACGAGUCCUCAGCUCGUGCACACUACGUCCCUGCCCUCUGUACACACCGCCGCUCGAUCAUGCAGAAUGAAUGAACUGGUGAGGCGUUGGCGAACGGCUCCUAGGGGAGGGCAACAGACCCCCCUGAGCCGGAAAGUUGUCAAGCCCAGUCCAAGU
Molecule: ribosomal RNA, 1220 nt
Filed under: Aspergillus flavipes
Lineage: Eukaryota; Fungi; Ascomycota; Eurotiomycetes; Eurotiales; Aspergillaceae
Description: partial small subunit ribosomal RNA
Rfam family: Eukaryotic small subunit ribosomal RNA
Source: RNAcentral